GACUGUGAAACCUCGACGCCAGUUGGGGCGGAGUCGUUGUUGAAAUACCACUCUGAUCGUAUUGGGCAUCUAACCUCGAACCCUGAAUCGGGUUUAGGGACAGUGCCUGGCGGGUAGUUUAACUGGGGCGGUUGCCUCCUAAAAUGUAACGGAGGCGCCCAAAGGUUCCCUCAACCUGGACGGCAAUCAGGUGGCGAGUGUAAAUGCACAAGGGAGCUUGACUGCGAGACUUACAAGUCAAGCAGGGACGAAAGUCGGGAUUAGUGAUCCGGCACCCCCGAGUGGAAGGGGUGUCGCUCAACGGAUAAAAGGUACCCCGGGGAUAACAGGCUGAUCUUCCCCAAGAGUCCAUAUCGACGGGAUGGUUUGGCACCUCGAUGUCGGCUCGUCGCAUCCUGGGGCUGGAGCAGGUCCCAAGGGUUGGGCUGUUCGCCCAUUAAAGCGGCACGCGAGCUGGGUUUAGAACGUCGUGAGACAGUUCGGUCUCUAUCCGCCGCGCGCGUCAGAAACUUGAGGAAACCUGUCCCUAGUACGAGAGGACCGGGACGGACGAACCUCUGGUGCACCAGUUGUCCCGCCAGGGGCACCGCUGGAUAGCCACGUUCGGUCAGGAUAACCGCUGAAAGCAUCUAAGCGGGAAACCUUCUCCAAGAUCAGGUUUCUCACCCACUUGGUGGGAUAAGGCCCCCCGCAGAACACGGGUUCAAUAGGUCAGACCUGGAAGCUCAGUAAUGGGUGUAGGGAACUGGUGCUAACCGGCCGAAAACUUACAACACCC
This 778-nucleotide ribosomal RNA is filed under the name Mycobacterium tuberculosis. RNAcentral's name for it is "bacterial LSU rRNA". It matches the Rfam family "Bacterial large subunit ribosomal RNA", at positions 2153 to 2925 of the family's 2925-position model. The record is from RNAcentral. Lineage: Bacteria; Bacillati; Actinomycetota; Actinomycetes; Mycobacteriales; Mycobacteriaceae.